AAAUGUCCUGUGAUCUGAUCCAG
Molecule: non-coding RNA, 23 nt
Filed under: Cricetulus griseus (Chinese hamster)
Lineage: Eukaryota; Metazoa; Chordata; Mammalia; Rodentia; Cricetidae
Source: RNAcentral